CAGUCGCCGCGGGAAUACGGAGGAUCCAAGCGUUAUCCGGAAUCAUUGGGUUUAAAGGGUCCGUAGGCGGUCUUGUAAGUCAGUGGUGAAAGCCCAUCGCUCAACGGUGGAACGGCCAUUGAUACUGCAGGACUUGAAUUAUUGGGAAGUAACUAGAAUAUGUAGUGUAGCGGUGAAAUGCUUAGAGAUUACAUGGAAUACCAAUUGCGAAGGCAGGUUACUACCAAUUGAUUGACGCUGAUGGACGAAAGCGUGGGUAGCGAACAGGAUUAGAUACCCGAGUAGUCCCUGUCUCUUAUAC
RNAcentral lists this ribosomal RNA (301 nucleotides) under uncultured bacterium. RNAcentral describes it as "partial 16S ribosomal RNA". It matches the Rfam family "Bacterial small subunit ribosomal RNA", at positions 509 to 807 of the family's 1533-position model. The record is from RNAcentral.